This 563-nucleotide long non-coding RNA is filed under the name Gorilla gorilla gorilla (western lowland gorilla). RNAcentral's name for it is "lncRNA (ENSGGOG00000044455.1)". The record is from RNAcentral. Lineage: Eukaryota; Metazoa; Chordata; Mammalia; Primates; Hominidae.
CAGAGAUAACUCUAAGUUAAUUCAGCUUAUAAGACACAUUUACAAUUAUAAUGCAGUUAUCCAAAAAUUAACUAUAUUUAUGUUAAAACAUCUUUUUCUCCCAUACAGAAAAGUCGUUAUUGAAGAAUUAUGCUACUAUUCCUUGCUGAGAUGGAUGAGGGAAGGAAAAACAUAAUCUUAUUAACUUUUAAAAUUAUAUUUCAUUUAUAAGAUUUUGUAGGAGAGCAGUUGUCAUCUAUGGAAAAUUACCAACAAUAUUAACAAUGCCAGCUUUGGCAAUGAAACAACUCAGUGACAACCUGAGAAACACAGAAAUCAGACCUGUGAGAUUUGUGGAAUCUAAUAUAGUUUCACUGCAGGAGAUUUCAACGUGUAAAUCCUAAAUGCAAGAAAAAGGGCCCUAAAGGUUAACAUUUACAUACUUUUUUUUAAUUUUAAAAAUUCCAGGUUCCCAUCAAAAUUUAUAAAUUCCUGGGCAGCACCAUAGUGUACACAUGGGGACAAAUAAAGUAAAGCCAAAAGAGCAAAAUAAACAUGAAAUAUGUACAACUUGUGCAAUUAUG